RNAcentral lists this ribosomal RNA (497 nucleotides) under uncultured bacterium. RNAcentral describes it as "partial 16S ribosomal RNA". It matches the Rfam family "Bacterial small subunit ribosomal RNA", at positions 28 to 507 of the family's 1533-position model. The record is from RNAcentral.
GAUGAACGCUGGCGGCGUGCCUAAUACAUGCAAGUCGAGCGAACGGACGAGAAGCUUGCUUCUCUGAUGUUAGCGGCGGACGGGUGAGUAACACGUGGAUAACCUACCUAUAAGACUGGGAUAACUUCGGGAAACCGGAGCUAAUACCGGAUAAUAUUUUGAACCGCAUGGUUCAAAAGUGAAAGACGGUCUUGCUGUCACUUAUAGAUGGAUCCGCGCUGCAUUAGCUAGUUGGUAAGGUAACGGCUUACCAAGGCAACGUUGCAUAGCCGACCUGAGAGGGUGAUCGGCCACACUGGAACUGAGACACGGUCCAGACUCCUACGGGAGGCAGCAGUAGGGAAUCUUCCGCAAAGGGCGAAAGCCUGACGGAGCAACGCCGCGUGAGUGAUGAAGGUCUUCGGAUCGUAAAACUCUGUUAUUAGGGAGGAACAUAUGUGUAAGUAACUGUGCACAUCUUGACGGUACCUAAUCAGAAAGCCACGGCUAACUACGUG